AUCCUUCGGUUCAUGAGCGUGAUGAUUGGGUGUUCAUGCAUUAUGCAUGAGAUGUGUUCGCCUCAAACCUUGUUGCGAUGUUGGCACAUUACCCGUCUGACG
Small nucleolar RNA from Octodon degus (degu), 102 nucleotides. RefSeq annotates it as small nucleolar RNA U13. Lineage: Eukaryota; Metazoa; Chordata; Mammalia; Rodentia; Octodontidae. The transcript has a single exon. The record is from RefSeq and is a predicted model, not a curated record.